Lethenteron reissneri (Far Eastern brook lamprey) is the source of this 517-nucleotide long non-coding RNA. RefSeq lists it as uncharacterized. The record is from RefSeq and is a predicted model, not a curated record. Lineage: Eukaryota; Metazoa; Chordata; Hyperoartia; Petromyzontiformes; Petromyzontidae.
CUUUGCCUGUGUCUGUGUGUGUAGUGCUGACAGCACUUGCCCCUAGUCUGCCAGAGGCUACACGGGGGACCUUUGCCUGUGUGUGUGUGUGUAGUGCUGACAGCACUUGCCCCUAGUCUGCCAGAGGCUACACGGGGGACCUUUGCCUGUGUCUGUGUGCCGCGUGCGUCAGGGACAAGUGGAGUCGGAUGUCGUCCGAGGAGCGAGAGGAGAGCAGCCGCUUCAGCAGCAACGUCGUGUUCGGGCAGCUCUCGACGUUCAUGCUGAACAUGUUGUUGUUUGGGCUGGGCAUGGAGUUCUGCCACGAGUUCCUGGAGAAGCACAGCGCCAUCGCUCACCUCGCCGCAGAGCAGCACGUGCUGCUCAAGAACCAGAUCCAGGAGAUGGCCGAUGAAGUUGGUCUCCACUAGCGGCGGUGGUGGUGGUGGUGGUUGUGGUGGUGGUGGUGGUGGUUGUGGUGGUGGUGGUGGUUGUGGUGAGGGAGAGGGUGGUGGUGGUGGUGGUGGUUGUGGUGGUG